Molecule: long non-coding RNA, 7464 nt
Organism: Vespa crabro (European hornet)
Lineage: Eukaryota; Metazoa; Arthropoda; Insecta; Hymenoptera; Vespidae
Exons: 3
Source: RefSeq, a predicted model, not a curated record
GCUAAAUAUCUGAAAUGAAGUAGCAGUAGUAGCGACUGAGUGUAACCUACAUUGGCUGGUAGACUAGGUGGAAAGGAAAGUGUGCGUUACACGUAGGACGACGAUGAACAACGACAACAACGACAACGGUAACAAAGUCGUUGUCGUCGUCGUAGUCGUCCUCGCCGACGACGACGACGAGGACGAGAAGAAGGGUAUAUACGAACUCGCAUAUCGUAGGUAGAUGGAUGCUGUACACACGUAUAUACAUCAUAGAUACAUUGAUACACGUAUACAAGCUCGAUCAAGGCACCGUAGAUGAGCGAGAGUCCGUAGGAGAGAAGGUAGGUGGUUCGGUUCCGGUGCGGGCCAUUAGUUGAUGAGCUACCUCGUUUUCGUCCCCUCCCGAGGCCGAGAUUCGCGCCAGUGCCGCCGACGACGGCGUGCCACCCUCUUCUCCUCGCUCGCGCGACUACAUCGAGAAGCUCUCCACCAUCUACGGGAGGAGGCCCUGUGAAAAGCUCGCGUGCCAUUGUGGGAUCUAUUAUUGCUCUCCUGGACUUACAUGUUUCGAUGCAGUGCCGGUAAACUCAGCCAACCAACCAUCCAACCAACCAACCAACCAACCAACCAUCCAACCAACCAACCAACCAUCCAUCCAUCUAACCAACCAAACAACCAAGCAACCAACCAACCAGUCAGUCAGUCAGUCAGCUAGACGAGCAAGAGAGCGAGUAAGCGGACGCGCAACCGAUAAAAACACCGAAGCAAACGAACCUCUUUUUACGAAGAAAGUGGAAGGAAGUCUACGGGCGUGAACAUAAAAUGGCCGACCGAGAGAGCUGCCUGGCGAUAGGAUAGGUAGCUUUCAGGAGAAAGGAGAAAUCUAUGCAGGAGUGGUCGAACGGAUGGGUCCUCCGCUACGUUUACCACGUUUUUUACAUUAUUCAUGGGGUUCGCGGACCGUAGAGUUAUGUAGAAGAAGUAGCGGCCGAGGAGGGUGGGCGGAACGGUGUACGCGCGAGAUACGAGACCGGAGUGGAAAUCACGAAAGUCCUGUGGGUGCUCUGGAUUCGCCCCUUCUAAUCUCGUCUCCUUGGUUUCGCCCUCCGGCUUCGUCGAGCGGAUGAGAAGUAGGAGGAGGAAGGAGGAGGAGGAGGAGGAGGAGGAGGAGGAGAAGUAGUAGAAGUAGUAGAAGAAGAAGAAGAAAAAGUAGAAGAAGAAGAAGUAGAAGAGAAGAAGUAGAAGAAGGAGAAGGAGAGAUCUCACCCUUACCACUCAGAGGGUAGAAGGAAGCCGGGGUUGCAAACGGAGAGUGAGUGAGAGAGAAAGAGAGAAAAGAGAGAGAGAGAGAGAGAGAGCAAGUCGAUGGAGCGAGAAGAGAAGGUGCUUUAAAGGGUAGCGAACGCCUCGACAAAAGCAACCCUCUUAAAGUUCGCUCUACGCUCUGCCUACCAAUGCGAUUUCGAAUUCGGAUUCCGCGUGCCAGAUUUUCCGAAAAGGAAUCUACGAAUCUCUCGAUGGAUAGAGAAGGGACGGGAGAUGUGCUUGAAAAGAGUAAUCCUAAGGAAAAUAAGAAACGUCUAAUGGAUUAUCUUUAAUUUCGUUGAAGGAAUCGGCCAAACUUAUUCGAGAGAGAGAGAAAUAGAUAGAUAGAUAGAUAGAUAGAUAGAAAAAGAGAGAUAGAAAGAGAAUAGUUUUAACGAUAUCAAGUGGAACCUCAGAGCCAUUUCGUUCAACGAAAUAGCCGUCGAGUUUUUCACUGGUGAUAAGAGAAUAAGGAAAACGUAGUGAAGUAAACAAAAAGGAAAAAAAAAGAGAUGAGAGAAAAAAGGCAAACAAAAAAAAAAGAAAAAGAAAAAAGAGGAAAGAGAGAGAGAGAGAGAAAGAAAGAGGAAAAGGGACUAGCAGAGGGGAGCAAAUCGCGAGAACGGGAGCCCGCGAGUGUCGCCCGCUCUAAUCUUCGGCGCGAGAGGAGCGAGCCCUAAUCCAGCUUAUCCAGAAAGUAAUUUUGAGUCUUUUGAAAGCGACCGUCUGGCCCCCAUCUCCCCGUCGUCCCCCUCUGAUCUCACUCUCUCUCUCUCUCUCUCUCUCUCUCUCUCUCUCUUCGUCCACGAAGAAAUCCCAACUGGGCGAAGAGAGAGAGAGAGAGAAAGAGAGGAGACAGCUCGAAACCCGCUUCCGCGAGGACGGGACUUCGAAGAGGACUCUGGAGAAGGAGUCUGGAGGAGAACUCUGGUAGGAGGACCAUCGUCGUCAUCUCUGCACAAACUUUUCUUCCUAUCGUACUAUUACUACCUACCUCGUCCUUUCUCUAUCAAUCUCGUAACCUUUCUUUCCUCAUCUUGCUCGAGUAAAUUAGCAAAGGCGAGAAGAGAUGGACUAUUCUUUCAUACUUCUUACGAGAAGAUAAUAUCUAUUGGGAGAGGGGUUAAAACGAAUCGGAUUAAUUUUUUUUCUUUUUUUUUUUUUUUCUUUUUUUUCAACGUAGCUAAGUAACAUACCCCAUCCAUCUAUCCUAUCUCUAAUUUUAUUCCGGUGAAAUCGUAGAAUCGGCAUUUGCCAUGAUCUCGUUAUUUAAAUGAUUAAUAAUUUUUCUUAAAGAUCUGAUCGUUUUUCGUCGAUAUUAAAAUCGACAGGACAAAUGAAUAAAUCGAUAUAUGUAUAUUAUACUACAGUAUCGUUUUAAUGACGGUUACCCGAUUAAUCGUGAAAAAUUUCCAUUUCCGGAUAAAAAUAAAGGAUCCCCUGCGAAAUAUAUUUCCAUCCUCUCGGUUGGUAGGCCGAGUAUUCGGCAUCAAAAUGGCAAAUAAUCAUCGAGCAAUGGCCGACAGAGACCGAGAGUGCGGGCGAAUGCGUCAGAAACACAUCGAUUAGGAGAGACGAGGAGAGAGAGAGAGAGAGAGAGAGAGAGAGAGAGAGAGAGAAAGAGAGAGGGAGAGUGAAUGCAGGAAGGAGGGAGGGAAGGCAAAAGAGAGGGAGAGUGCAUCGUGUGCUGGAAUAUUUCGAGAGUACUCGACGCAUUGUCACUCUGGGGGCCUACACUUGGUCCACCCUCUCGACGAUUCGAAGCCACCCCGAUGCGGGGAUGGAUGCUAUAACGUUAUACGUUUGGUACUUAUACAGGGUGUCGUAUUGCUAUCAUUUCGUAUUUUUACAUUUUCAAACGAACAAUUUAAUUCGAAUUAAGAUCUAUUUAAAAAUAUAAAAGUAUCAUUAGCAUUUGACAACGAAUUUCUCGUCGUUAACGAUUUAAUAUCGGAUAAACGUGAAUGGUUCAUCUGAUUUGCGAUUAAUUCUUUAAAAUAAAUGAAAGAAAAAAAGGAAAAAUAAAUAAAUGAAACAAGAAACUUUUUCCAUUCGAAAUAUCAAGUCCUUUAAAAUUGCGAGUAUCAAGAAUCCUAAGUGAAGACAUUUUGGGAUCGUUAAUAUCCAUAACAUGACGAUUAAAAAAUUUGCAAACAGAAAUAAAUAUAUUCAAUGCUUAUAGAGAUCACGUAUUGAAGAAAAGAAAAAGAAAAGAGAAAAGAGAAAAGAAAGAGAGAAUAAUGAAAGAAAAAAAAGUAAUAACAGUUAUGAAAUCGAAUGCAGUCGUAUGUAUAGAUGUCCGAGAGACAGACUAACGAGGAGAACUAUUCGAAGCCGCGUUCCCAAUUUAUUCAAGCUCUCCUGGAAUUUAUCAGACAUAGUCGCGGUAGGUGAGAUAGGAUGAAGAGAGGCGAAGUGGGGUCGGCCGGUUGGUCGAUUCACCAAAUGCUACACGCUCGAACGCAACAUCCACGGCACACGGACACCCAGUAUAGAUACACGAAGGUGUAUCUAUGGAGGCAUGCGUAGCUAUUACCUAGACCACGUAGGCGGUCGUAUAGUACAUAUGUAGAAAGUAUAUAUAUAUAUAUAUAUAUACAUACAUAUAUAUAUAUAUAUACAUACAUAUAUAUAUAUAUAUACACAUAGAUAUGUAUGUAGUGAGUGAAAUAGCCGGGGUGCGCGUACAUAGUCGUUGCUCUCGCAGGUACGUAUACCUCUACAGAGAGCGAGAGAUCCAACCGUCCUCCGGCUUUCCUCCACCCGCUGAACCAUCACUGUUACUCUCUCUCUCUCUUGCUCUCUCUUAUUCUCUCUUACUCUCUCUCUCUCUCUAGUUCUCUCGCUCUGUCGGUUGGUCUGGGUAGGUAGCUUCUCGUAUUAUAUACGUAGCGAAGGCUGGAGGGUCCUCACCGCCGCAACAUUACGCUGAUUGCCUGAAUUAUCCGCAACCAGUUCGUCUGUAUGUGCGUUCAUGCGCGCGCGCGCGUUCGCAUACAGAACAUUGAGAUAGGGAGUAUGAGUAAAAGGAGAGAGAGAGAGAGAGAGAGAGAGAGAGAGAGAGAGAGAGAGAGAGAGAGAGAGAGAGAGAGAUAGAUAGACAGACAGACAGACAGACAGAGAGAGAGGGAGGGAGAAACACGUAGCAACAUCGAAGCGUAGGUGUAGGAACGUUGCGAGUCUCGAGCGCUUCUCGCGCGAGAGAAACUCGCCCGGCGCGUAGUACCUCACGUGUUCAUAUAGAUAUAUAUCCAUACGUUGUAUAAGCACGUACGUAUGUAUGUGUCUUCUACGUAAUAUGUACAAGUAAUACGAGAGUAUACCGUGAAGGAGGCAACAGGAAGGUUUACGAGGAGAAAAUUGAAAACGGUGCUGCGCGCGAGCGUGGAAGACGAUAGCUUAUACGGUGCGUUCAUGAAGGUGGAAUAAUGAUUCGAGACGGGAAACACGGAAAUUCUCUCGUCGCUUCGUCGCUUCUAACCUAUUCUUAAGAGUUAGCCGUUACCGUUUUUAUUGCCUUUGUUAAUUGCGCAUUUAUUAAAUUCACCUUUUUAUCCCUUUUAUUCGCGUGGUCGAUAUUAACACUCAUGAUACUCAUUUUUUUUUUUUUAAAUCGCAAUACUAUCCUACAUCGAAUGUUAAUCCCAAUGAGAAAUUGAUAAACGUACGAUUUGAUACCAUCGGUUUUAAUUUGGUGUUCGUCGAACUGAUUAAUGAAAACAAAAAAAAAAAAAAGAAAAGAAAAGAAAAAAAAGAGAGAAAAACAAAGAAAUAAGAAGAAAGAAAAAAGAAAAAUUCCACGGGUCAUACCAAGUCAGAUUGAACGUUGAAGAAGCAACGAAUAUAUAUGCGAUGAUCGAAGGGAGGAAUGAACGAGAUGAGUGACUCGUUGGAAGCACCCUCUUUGUCGUACCCAUAGCCAUGGUCAUGAAUUCGCUUUUGCAGUUCUGUGUCGCUCGUCGUCGUUCGUCGCGGCACGACGAAAGAGAUGGAGACGCAAGGGCGGUGAAGGGUUAAGGACGCGUAUCAUAACGCUUGAUUAAUGUACGUCACCCAUCCCCUUUCUGUCUAUCAUUCCCCUCUUUUCCUCCUCACCUUCCAUCUCUCUCUUUCUCUCUCUGUCUCUCGCUCACAUAGCGAUUACAGUUUGGAUAUGCUUGUAGUUCGUUAUCAAUGUUUCUAUACGUUUAUAAAAAUUAAUAUUUGACGAACGUCAGAAAAUAUCAAGUUUUUUUUUUCUUCCUUUCUUUUUUCGUUUUUCCUUUUUUCUUUUUGCUUUGUUUUGUUUUGUUUCUUUUUGUUUUUUUUUUUUUUUCUUUUUUAUCGGAUAAGAACUGUCUUAAAUUUGUCGUUAUAGUUCUUACUAUAAUUCAUUCAAUGCGAUAAAUAUCACGAACAAGCUCUAUCGCCUUUUAAUUUUAUUAUUUCCACAACUAGACAGGAGGAAAAAAACGCUUGUCUUUUAUCGAUCGUAACCAUCGAUCAUGUUCCCGAGUUUGCCGACACGGAACGCAGAAAUCAACACUAUAUUUUGCGACUGUCACGGACAAAUCGAUCAACGAUCUCAACGGAUCGAGAUUAAAGCGGCCGCUCGGCGCCAAAACCUUUCGCGAGUUACGUUUUGUAAUCGACUUCGACUUUCACUUCCUAAAGAGCAUAGAAAAGUCUUAAUGGGAAGAUAUAAUAAUAAUAAUAAUAAUAAUAAUAAUAAUAAUAAUGAUAAUAAUGAUGAUAAUAAUGAUAAUAAUAAUGAUACACGUGAACGUAAUUUUCUUGGCGUUUAGUCGAAGCUCGUAGAUAAUAAAAAAAUAAAAAAUAAAAAAAGAAGUGGGGAAAAAAAAAGAAAACUCGAAAAAGAAAACAAAUGGGCGGAAGUACGCGUAACGAUCUCGACGCGAAGAAGAGAAAGGAGAUAGAAUAGGCAUUUCGAUGCCGGUGACACAGUGACACGGAACCUGUCGAGCGAAGCCAGCCAUUGGCUCGUUUCUGAUAAAUAGGACGCUACCGGGAACGGAGCCGCGAGCUUCGACAAUGGGGGUGCCGGAAGACCGGGGCAGCUUUAAUUUCCCCCCGCAGUUCCUGGCAAUUACAACGUGGCGCGUCCCGAUAACCAUCUCUAUCUCCGACCACAAUGCUCUCGAUUCCAACGCACCCUUCCGUCCCCGCCAAAGCCACCGUCCUUUCGUUUCUCUUUACGAUUUUUCUUUCACCGGACGUCGAACGCCUACGACUUUCAACGAUCGAGAUUCCCUCCCUUUUCUUUUCUCCUUUUGCUUUUCUUAUAUUACGCUUUCCUUUGUAUCCUCGUUACCUUUUCCGAUGUUCAUGAUUAUCGGCUAAUAACAACAACAACAACAACAACAACAACAACAACAACAACAACAACAACAACAACAACAACAAUAAUAAUAAUAAUACGAACAUGUUCGAAAUGUUUAGUAAUUAGCGGCGAUUCAAAAGAAAAGAAGAAAAAAAAAAAAUAAAAAAAAAAAGAAAAAAAAAAUAAAAACAAUAAAAAUAUAAAGAAAAUAUAUAGAUCAAUUUUCAACGAAAAUUUCAAUCGAACAUUAUCAUUUUAGAGAUUAUAAUAAUUUUGAACGUAUGAAGAAAAAGUAGAUAUGACGAGUCCGAAGUAUCAUCUCUUGCGCAUCGAAUUGUGUAUCGUAAAAUAAACCAUAGUAAGUAUUUGACGCUAGAAAGGUUGCAAGCGAAACACGACCGCUUUCGAUUUCUCGCUUUGGAGUAACUCUGUACGAAGCCCGACGAGUUCGAUUCCAGACUCUACCUUUGGUAAUCCCUGCACAACGCAAAGUGAUUUCACGUAGACAGAAUAAGUCUUCGUAGUUCUCUUUGAUCUCGAUUGUUUCGAUUAUCUCGAUCGUCACCAUAGGAAGACCCGAUAGACAUUGUUGUAAUUAUAACGGUGCUAAGCUCACCGGCACGAUAGGUGCAGAAAAGCUAUAACUACGGCUUCUUCCAAAGUUUUCAUGUACAUUAAACGAUGAUAAUAUCUCGAAUAGAUCGGUAUAACUCUAAAGAAAAUAACAUCCGAAAAUGUUAUAUUAAAUAGAUACGUAUAAUUAAUCUUUAAAUAUAAGAGAGUAUAAGUGUAAUCUUAUAAAUAAUUGUAAAAAUGGCAAUUAAUUAAUUAUUCGUAAAAAACGUUUGUUUAUCAAA